This 496-nucleotide ribosomal RNA is filed under the name uncultured bacterium. Its description in RNAcentral is "partial 16S ribosomal RNA". It matches the Rfam family "Bacterial small subunit ribosomal RNA", at positions 28 to 507 of the family's 1533-position model. The record is from RNAcentral.
GAUGAACGCUGGCGGCGUGCCUAAUACAUGCAAGUCGAGCGAACGGACGAGAAGCUUGCUUCUCUGAUGUUAGCGGCGGACGGGUGAGUAACACGUGGAUAACCUACCUAUAAGACUGGGAUAACUUCGGGAAACCGGAGCUAAUACCGGAUAAUAUUUUGAACCGCAUGGUUCAAAAGUGAAAGACGGUCUUGCUGUCACUUAUAGAUGGAUCCGCGCUGCAUUAGCUAGUUGGUAAGGUAACGGCUUACCAAGGCAACGAUGCAUAGCCUACCUGAGAGAGUGAUCGGACACACUGGAACUGAGACACGGUCCAGACGCCGACGGGAGGCAGCAGUAGGGAAUCUUCCGCAAUGGGCGAAAGCCUGACGGAGCAACGCCGCGUGAGUGAUGAAGGUCUUAGGAUCGUAAACUCUGUUAUUAGGGAAGAACAUAUGUGUAAGUAACUGUGCACAUCUUGAAGGUACCUAAUCAGAAAGCCACGGCUAACUACGUG